GGAUGCGUUUGAGCCAAGGCUUUCGAGGAGCGCUCCGUCUCUUUGGAGACCGAGGGCAUGUCGACCAUGUUGACGAGCUUCUUGGGGAAAUUCCCCGGACGCAAAGACAGAGAUGUCUAUCCGGAAACGGAUGCCGGCUUGGGAUGCCGCUCGGGCGACGACGACACUCUGUUGUGUAAGAGCCAUGGUGGGUCGUGCUCCCUUGUCGCCGUCGUAGCAAAGUAAUGCCGCAGUCGAACCCAACGGGGAUUACUCCAAACGCAUA
Seminavis robusta is the source of this 265-nucleotide non-coding RNA. NCBI's taxonomy places the organism in Eukaryota, Bacillariophyta, Bacillariophyceae, Naviculales, Naviculaceae. The record is from the annotation of a GenBank genome assembly.